CAAUAGCGUAUACUAAAGUUGCUGCGGUUAAAACGCUCGUAGUUGGAUCUCUGGCGUGGGACGGUUGGUGCCGGCCUAUGCCGUCGGUCACUGCCGAAAUGCAAUCCCCGCCUCCUCUUGCCGGUGACUCUGCGGGUGCUCUUAACCGAGUUUGCCUGCGGCGGCCGGCCACGUUUACUUUGAAAAAAUUGGAGUGCUCAAAGCAGGCCUGGUACCUGCCACGAACGAAUGGUGCAUGGAAUAAUGGAAUAGGACCUCGGUUCUGUUGUGUUGGUUUCUGAAACCCGAGGUAAUGAUUAAGAGGGACAGCACGGGGGCAUUCGUAUUGCGGCGGGAGAGGUGAAAUUCUUGGAUCGCCGCAAGACGAACAAUUGCGAAAGCAUUUGCCAAGAAUGUUUUCAUUAAUCAAGAACGAUAGUCAGAGGUU
This 427-nucleotide ribosomal RNA is filed under the name Annelida sp. MM01299. RNAcentral describes it as "SSU rRNA". It matches the Rfam family "Eukaryotic small subunit ribosomal RNA", at positions 592 to 998 of the family's 1831-position model. The record is from RNAcentral. Lineage: Eukaryota; Metazoa; Annelida.